UACGGGGGGUGCAAGCGUUGUCCGGAAUCAUUGGGCGUAAAGAGUUCGUAGGCGGCACGUAAAGUCUGGUGUUAAAGGCAGAGGCUCAACUUCUGUACGGCACUGGAUACUUGCGAGCUAGAAUGCGGUAGAGGUAAAGGGAAUUCCUGGUGUAGCGGUGAAAUGCUUAGAUAUCAGGAAGAACCCCGAUUGCGAAGGCAGCCUGCCGCAGCGUUACUGACGCUGAAGCUCGAAAGCGCGGGUAUCGAACAGG
Molecule: ribosomal RNA, 253 nt
Filed under: uncultured bacterium
Lineage: Bacteria
Description: partial 16S ribosomal RNA
Rfam family: Bacterial small subunit ribosomal RNA
Source: RNAcentral